This is an RNA transcript of Hipposideros armiger (great roundleaf bat), 2000 nucleotides long. It is a transcript of the gene named ubiquitin conjugating enzyme E2 G1, with no coding region annotated. The transcript has 9 exons. The record is from RefSeq and is a predicted model, not a curated record. Lineage: Eukaryota; Metazoa; Chordata; Mammalia; Chiroptera; Hipposideridae.
CGCCAGCCCGGGCCCUUGGCGGGGAGGAUGACGGAGCUGCAGUCGGCACUGCUACUGCGAAGACAGCUGGCAGAUGUUUUCAGUCCCACUUCUCACUACUGACCUUCCUCGCACGACGGUCACUGAACUGGCGCCUCUCUGGGGUUCUGCCCAGAAGAUUAGCCUUCCUCCUUCGCUGCAGCCCCCUCUGUGGUUGAAGGUGAACUUGAAAUGAAUUUGAAUGGAGACGCUCAAGAACCUACUCAUUAUGCUAAGAGAAGUUUCAUUGUGAGGCUAUUCAUGGGAUUGCUGACAACAAGGGAUGAACUCAACAAAAAUCCAGUGGAAGGCUUUUCAGCAGGUUUAAUAGAUGACAAUGAUCUCUACCGAUGGGAAGUCCUUAUUAUUGGUCCUCCAGAUACACUUUAUGAAGGUGGUGUUUUUAAGGCUCAUCUCACUUUCCCAAAAGAUUAUCCCCUCCGGCCUCCUAAAAUGAAAUUCAUUACAGAAAUCUGGCACCCAAAUGUUGAUAAAAAUGGUGAUGUAUGCAUUUCUAUUCUUCACGAGCCUGGGGAAGAUAAAUAUGGCUAUGAAAAACCAGAGGAACGCUGGCUCCCCAUUCACACCGUGGAAACCAUCAUGAUUAGUGUUAUUUCUAUGCUGGCAGACCCUAAUGGAGACUCACCUGCUAAUGUUGAUGCUGCGAAAGAAUGGAGGGAAGACAGAAAUGGAGAAUUCAAAAGGAAAGUUGCCCGCUGUGUAAGAAAAAGCCAAGAGACUGCUUUUGAGUGACAUUUGUUUAACAGCUGUAACUUCACUUAUUUCAGGGUCAAGUUCUUUGCCUUAGUCUGCCAGUAUUGAACAUCUUUCAUGCCUGCCUGCACUUCAUCCUGGAUAUUUGUCCUGGAUACAACUACCAAGUCUCCAAUUGAGAAACAUGGCACUGUUUUUCCUGCACUCUACCCACCUAUUGCUGGACUUCUGUUGUAACGAGUUGGCAAACACUGGCUGGAACUGGGCUGCAAUAAAACAUGCCAGUAUCAAUGCUGACAAGAGCCUAACAAGUGCCAACUUACAGAUGAUUACGCAUUUUGAAUUCUAAUGAACUGUUUUAACCUUCAGGAAGAAUUGUAAAGACCUGUACAUAGCACAACAUGAUCCGGAUAAUAUAUAUACUGUUCAUGUACAUCCACAAAUACACCUUGUACCAAAUAAUGCUUUCUUGUAGUAGACUAAGAAUCAUGUAAAUUCUAAAAGAUUUUAGCAGGUUUUCUUCCCCUACUCAUUGUUUCUUAUCAGUUUUAAAAGACUCCUUAAAGCAUGUCAGAUGAAAAGCAAUUAGGAUUAAAAGUUUCCAUUUAAUUUUCUUUAAACCAUUGAGGCUUCAUUAAACUCUUUUCACUUACUAAACUUUUGUAUCUUCUUUGUUUUGACACACUCCCCUUUGCGUUUAUCUCUUCUAUCUGCCAGAAAGUUUUCAAAUCAUUUAGUUCAAAUACUGAAGUACUUAAUAAGCAACUACUUGAUUUUUAAUGAUGACUUCAGAGGAGUGGUCAUCACUAGGUGCUUUGUCCUUUUUGUAUUCUAGUUGCACCCAUCUCUUGGAUUGGAUGUAGCAAUAACAUUUUUUGGCUGUUGAGAGCUCUUGAACUAUCAUUAUCCCCGAGAACUAAAAAUAAUUGGUUCCGAAUUAAACAUACUGAAAAUUUCCCCAAACUAUACAAAAUUCUGAUUUGGUUUUUUGCCGUCCAGUUAGUUACCAAAUGUUAAGAUUGGAUGAAUAAAGCAUGCAGAGCUACAGGCUUUCUACUUAACUUCUGGGUUUGCUAUGAAAGAUGCUGUUUACCCUCAUACCCUUCUCCUUAGCCCUUUUCAUAUUUCUUUGCCUCUAUUCUUCUAUACUGCAGAUUUUUCUCACUAUUGUACAAAGAAAUUGCGAUGUAUAUUUUCAUGUAAUUUGAUUUUGGAAUUCUGUCACCUUAUGUAGUGAGUUCUUCCAAAAUACAAUUUUUUUCCAAUAA